ACCACACCAUUAGAUCUCACUGCCUCAUUCCUGACGGCCGCUGGCAUUCAUUCACUCAGAUCUCCUCAGAUGCUAAUCUCUUUUAUUAUCAGGUAAAUUUCUAAAUUCUACUUAUUUUCCUAAAUCAAACAUACGUCUUUGUUUUUCUGUUCCUUUUCUGAGGUUAAUUAAAUUAAUUUCAUAUCCACAUUAGAUAGUCUUGUAUAAUUAUUCGAUCUCCAUCUUUAGAGAUGGCUGAAUUACUGCAAGAAUUUUUGUACAUAUAAAAAAAAUGAUAUUCUAUUGCAUUAAUACCUACUCCUUUAUGUUAAUCACUCCACAUUUUUAAAAAAUUCUAUUGGAUUCUAUUGCAUUCGAUUUAUAAUUAAAAUUAAUUUAUACCAAGAAAUUCUUUGUCGUGUUGAUUUUGUUUCUUGUUUCUAAUUAAAAUUAAUUAUUAUCAAGAUGGUUUAGAGGAUAUAGAAUAUGACUUCAACCCUACAAGAACGAGACUUUUUAUGUGGUUUUGAAAUCUGCAAGUCUCCACAAAUUAUCUUUUGUAUGUAUUCUUGUUGUGUGGUGUAUUUAAUGAGUUUUUUUUAAGACUAAUUUUGUUGAAUUAUUUUUAAUAUAGUUAUUAAACUUGCAUAAAAAAUAAUUAUUUUUAUUCUUCGAUUCUUUUCUUUUAAUAAUAGAGUAUUUGUGGUGAUGCAAAAUUUUGAUUAACUUAUCAAACUAUUGUAGAGAGAGAGGCUUCUCAGACAUGAAAGUUUCUUAAGUUAUCUGCUUAUUUGCGUGUGUAUAGAGCAAAAUAAGAUAAGGAUGUUGAGGGAAAAUAUGCAUUUUUUUAAACGUGGAUUGACUUCACUUCUCAUUUUAACCAAUUCUUAUGGAUUUGUUCUGUUGCAGUUGAAGUCAUAACUUUUCUUGAUUAAUUAAAUAUUCAAAAUUAGAUUACUCAGUCCUUUGUGUCUUCGGUGGUGUUUGUUUACUUUAUGUUCACACUUGGCUAUAAGUAUUUUAGGUUGAAUAACUACAUUUAGUGUUGGUACUUGGUAGAUAGAGUGAAAUGUACAUGACUGUUGACGCCUUUAUAAACCAAUUGUUAUUUGUAUUUUCCUAGACACGUAGUACUAGAUGAAAUUUUUGUAAAUUUAAAUCUGGAGUACAAUUGGUUUAAUAUGUAAAUAAAAAAAAUUGAGACAACAAAAAUGGUAUUUGGAGAUUAAAUAUAAUAAAUGAUUUUUUUUUUUGGAUAAGUAAUGAAUAGAUCUUAAAUACGUGAAGAUCUUGCUCCAAUAAAUGUAGCUAUACUGCAUAUGUUUUUAAAUGUACGUGUGAAGAAAAUAAAUGAUUUGAUCUCUUACUUGUGUGUACUCUAUUUUUAUUUGACAUGCAGUUGACAUGGUAAAAUAUUUACACGAUAUCCAACAAGUUGAAAAUGAGUCGUUGUUCAUGACAUUUCAAAUUAGCCCAUUGAUUUCAGGUAAUAAGGUUUUCCUGUAACUAUUGGAAUACAUUAUGUGCUAUUAUUUAACUCGAACACAAUUGUCGUAAAUGACAAAAAUAAACUUAACUUGUAAGUUUGGUUUCUUUUCUUCCCUAUAAAUUAUCAUAAUUCAAUGGAGUUCUGCGAGAAAGUAAAUAUAUUUCUUGUUUCAAAAAGUUUUCACUACUACAAAACAGUAAAUAGAUAACGCGGAAAAAACGUUGUGGUUUCAGUCAGAAAAACGUCGUGGUUAAGGGUGUCAUGACACCCUUACACAACAUUUUUACAAUGUUGUAGUUAAGCACAUUACACAACGUUUUUUAAAAAAAAAAUGUUGUAGAUUUGUUUUCCAUAAAUUAGUAGAUGCUUAAAAAUGUUGUAGAAGGUAUGAUUCAACAACGUUUUCUGGAUAAAAACGUUGUAAUUUAAUAUAUCAGACAACGUUUUUAACCAAUUUAUACAACGUUUAGAAGGUGUCAUUUAUUUAUACAAAUAUACAAUAUUUUUAAAAUAUUGUAGAUAAAGAAAAAAAAAAGUGGUAGUUCACUUAUAUUAUCAAUGCACCUACAAUAUGCUAAUGCCAUGAUAUAUAGCUAAAAUGUCUAAAUUCUCAUUUAAAUUUAAAGUCAAAAUGUAUCAACCAUUCAAAAUACAUUCCAAUAAUAACAUUCGUUUACAGUUUCAAAUUACUACAUCCACAAAAUAUAUACCAAACUAUCCAUAUAUGCAUCUCAAAUUCACUUUUCAAUAUAAACUACUACUAUAUUGAAUUGUGAAUUUAAUUACAUGCAUCCAUAAAAUAAACCAAACUAUCUAUAAAAUUGAGCUACUACCUAAGCAUGUGCAAAAAAGCCUAGUUCUCCCAAAAUACGUACAUUCAUCUAACAUAUUCACUGUUAACUCGAGGCUCUACAUGUAGCUGCUCACAUACGUUGCCCACUCAUCCCGUCAAUUUGUUCUUGUGUGUACGUUAAUCCACAUGCCUUAUCCUACUGAAAUAAAAGAACAACAAAUUUAGUAUUCAACAAAGAUACCAAAUCACAAGGAUACCAAAUCUGACCUGGUACUGAUGUUGCGCAACAUGAAAUAACUAACCAAAACUUGGACGUGUUUUUCUCAAGUAGCCCUCAAAGCCAACUGCUGACAUCAAAUAACCAAAGUUAGUUCAAGUGUGAUGGUUACUAUAGAAGCUAGCUACAACAAAAGUGCUCGUUAAUACUUUCAUUACCUGACUGGACAGUAAUGGGGAAGUUUAUCCAGAAUCUCCAGCUCUUCAAGUGUUAUCUGAUCUAUCUUGUUGACAGCAUAGAUGCAAGGCAUAUACACACGGCUGCCCUCAAUGACAUCUAUGAGAUUGUCAGCUGUUGCGUCAUACCUAAGGGUAACAUCAGCAUUGUGUAUUCUGUAUUCACUGUAUAUAGCUUUCACAGUUUCAAGGUCCAGAUGCGUGUUGGCCACCCUUUUCUUUCUUCCUGAAUGUCAGAUUAGGGGGUUUCUUGUUUAACCUAAUUUUUUUAAAAAAAAGUACAAAGACGUACAACAUUAUUAGGAAGAAGAAAGAAUACAAGCAAGAAGAAUAUACAACUGUAGUUGCUAAGGAAUAGUAUCUCUGCAGGAAAAGGAAAAGAGAAAUGUUAGCUUUCAAAAACCAUAAAUACCGUUACAAGACUAGCUACUUCAAAGCAAUUGGUUACUUCCUUUUUCUCUUCGAUAAGAGACUGGAACAAUUAAACAUACAAGUGAGAAGACAUAUUCAAUCCAUCCUAUUUUACUGACUAUGUGAUCUGCUGAAUCAAUUUAUUCCAAAACGUGGUACAACUGCUAGAUUGUUCAUACAUUAAUUAGCAGUUACCAACAAUAAGCUAUUCUUGUGGCAGAACAAAAUUGUAAAAGAAAUGAAAACAUCUUUAGAACAUAUAAUGUCCAAAACACACAAAAUACCUUAUGCCAAAUCCCUCGAGCUCUUUCUCUAUCAAGCGUUUGUGAGUUGUUGGCUUUAUUGCGUCCAGAGCGAUCAGAAUACAGUUGCAUGUUCUAGCAGUACUGAUGACCUGGAUUGAGGUGACACAAGAAUGAGCACUCUUACAAUAAAUUAAUAAUGCACAUGAACCAAAAACAUCAAAAGUUGUAUAGUUCUCAUUCAAUUUUCAAAGCAGAACUAUGCAUAAAAAUGAAAAUAUAAAUGAACCAAAUAUAUCUAAAUUGAGCAGUUAUAGUUGUUAUUAAAUCUUCAGUGGUAAAUGAUAAUGUGAACAACUCUAAAAUCUAAAGUUGAUAUGUAUGCUAAAGAUUAGUAGUCCGACUCUGAUACCAGGGACAAAGGGAGCAUAGGGCCUGGGGAGCUGGGCUACCAUAAGAUUUCAGAAAAAAAAAUUAAGCCUAUGAAAUUUUGACAUUUUUAUUUUAGGCCCCCAAGAGCCAAAAGGUACAAAAAAUAAGCCCUUCAUAAACCAAAAAAUUCAAAUCUAAACACAGAAAGUCUUAAACAUUACAAAUAAUCCACCUUCGACAAUAUCUGAAAAGCAUGAAACCAAGUUGCAAGCACUUUCACUGAUUAGUACAUAGCCUAUCAACUUCAAUUAAACCUUAAAAACAAACUUUAUCUAUUGUAACUAAUCAGAUAUUAAAGGAGGAAAAUAACAUUGCAACUAUAGCCAUUUCAACCAAGUUUCUUCCUCCAUGGGCGAGUAAUUAAUCAUUCAAUAUUUACAUAGCCAAGUUUCUGAAAGUGCAACUUACAAAAUCAAAUUUAUGAGAAAGGUUACUCACAGUGGGGCGCUUUGUUCUUCUAUAAACUCUUUCAAGUGUUUCAACUUGUACUUUCUUAAUACGUUUUUAGCAGACCAACUGCUUUGCAUGACAUGAACUGGGGCUUUCACCUUAGCCUCUGGUUUCUCUGCAUCUGUUGCCGUCAUCAAAGGAACAUUCUCCACCUGUCUGGUUUCGGGCUCUAAGAUUGUUGAAGCAGGUUUAUCAGGCAAAACAGCGCUCAUCAAAAGUAGAUUUGGAGGUGGGUCACGAAGUAAUUCAAGAACAAUAGCUCUACUUGGCACAAAAGCACAACCCAGAGACAGCAACCACUUGGCACAUUCACCAAGAUAAUUCCCAAUGCAUUCAUAAACAUAUCCGCCCUCCGUCCUCAAAAGAAUGGCUAAAGUGGAAAAACAAAAAAUACAAAUAAUAUUUUGAGGACAGAGGUAGUUAUUAUCAUGACCUCAUUUUGGCAUUGACAGGAGGCACUUGUAGCUCCAACAAAGCCGGAAUAAUAAAAUAUCUAAUAGCUUCUUUCUAUUGAGAAUAAAUUUACGAUGCAAGCACACUCAGACACGUGUGUGUGAGAUAGAGAGGGAGAGAGUCUCCUGAGUACAAUAUUUAUAUAUAUUCAUAAUAUCCCAAGCAUGAAAGCAUUUUCAGGAAUUAAAAACAAGCACUAUAAUUUAUCAAAUACUAAUUAACACCAAUAAAAAU
RNAcentral lists this long non-coding RNA (4936 nucleotides) under Panax ginseng (ginseng). RNAcentral describes it as "long non-coding RNA (PGIN_LNC005830)". Lineage: Eukaryota; Viridiplantae; Streptophyta; Magnoliopsida; Apiales; Araliaceae. The record is from RNAcentral.